UCCGCACGCUGAAAGUCGAGUGAGCCUGCUCCAAAGGCUCUUUCGUUGAUUAUGUGUGCCAGAACAACGCCAUAGGUAUCAUUCUUCGUCUUCUUAGGCGCGGAACAUCUAAAUAUGGCUACAGUU
RNAcentral lists this small nucleolar RNA (126 nucleotides) under Caenorhabditis briggsae. RNAcentral describes it as "Cb25 H/ACA snoRNA". It matches the Rfam family "Caenorhabditis snoRNA ceN48". The record is from RNAcentral. Lineage: Eukaryota; Metazoa; Nematoda; Chromadorea; Rhabditida; Rhabditidae.